RNAcentral lists this long non-coding RNA (366 nucleotides) under Fukomys damarensis (Damara mole-rat). RNAcentral describes it as "lncRNA (ENSFDAG00000031596.1)". The record is from RNAcentral. Lineage: Eukaryota; Metazoa; Chordata; Mammalia; Rodentia; Bathyergidae.
GAGAAAAGCAGUCAUUGUUCCUGAAAUGGAAAUGAAAGUCCUCACUUCUGAAGCUGACACUGCCACUUAUGUGUGAGUGGGCUUUGGGAAGUCCAUUGUCUCUCUGAGGCCUUGUUUUCUUCUAUGGUGAAGUGCCAGGGUCAAAGUGGACAGCUUUGAGCCCAGAAGUCUGUUACGUGGAGAAUGGUUGCAGAAACAACACAGCAAAGGGAAAGAUAAAACAUGAUGAAUUCUGGGCAGUUCAGAGCACCCUAUUCAGCUGGGAUGCCUUGAAUUUCAGUGGCAGCUUUCUCUGAAGGCAUGUGCUUUUCUUCAGAGGACUAGGAUUAUUGAUUCUUCAAGGAAGUGGUUGACAUUCAAUUUUAC